GACAGAGGAUGCAAGCGUUAUCCGGAAUGAUUGGGCGUAAAGCGUCUGUAGGUGGCUUUUUAAGUCUGCCGUCAAAUCCCAGGGCUUAACCCUGGACAGGCGGUGGAAACUACCAAGCUGGAGUACGGUAGGGGCAGGAGGGAAUUCCGUGGUGUAGCGGUGAAAUGCGCAGAGAUCAGGAAGAACAUCGGUGGCGAAGGCGCUCUGCUGGACCAUAACUGACACUCAGGGACGAAAGCUAGGGGAGCGAAUGGG
Molecule: ribosomal RNA, 255 nt
Filed under: uncultured bacterium
Lineage: Bacteria
Description: partial 16S ribosomal RNA
Rfam family: Bacterial small subunit ribosomal RNA
Source: RNAcentral